Molecule: long non-coding RNA, 1010 nt
Filed under: Oryctolagus cuniculus (rabbit)
Lineage: Eukaryota; Metazoa; Chordata; Mammalia; Lagomorpha; Leporidae
Description: lncRNA (ENSOCUG00000034073.1)
Source: RNAcentral
GAAAAGGCUUGCACAUCUACAAAUUCAAAGAUUCAUGAUAUAUUCUACUUUACCCUAAAAACAAUUGGAGAUAAUGGGAUGUGAAACAGAACCAAGGAAUUAAAAUGUCAGCCCACUAAUAUCCUUAACAUGUCAUUCAGUUUCUUUAUUCUGCAGAUUCAGCAUCCGUCAACUGCUUGUGACUUGCAGCCACUAACAAAGCUCAAUAACACACCACAGAAUCCACUCUGGGUUGACACAGAGUGCUGGAAAAGCAGAAGGUGACAUUUGUGAUUCUUGCAACUCUGUCAGGGAAUUGUCUCAUUGUGGUGACUUCAAACCAGCCAGACUCUUGCCCAGUGACAUGUAAUUUUCCCUAUCUUACCUGCCCUUUGCUGAUACUGAAUCUCUACAACCACAACCCACAGAUUAAUUGUGGAUGCCCUUUCUCAGCAGAUCAUUUCCCACAAUGAGUGCAUGACCCAUGUCUUUGUAGCCUAUUUCUUCAGGUGCAUGAAUGGAGAUCUUUGUGCUCAUCCUCACAGCCUUUCAUCACUGUGUAACCAUUUAUGUCUUUUGACAUAAAUCAGCACUGGACCAGCAGAGACCAGUCUGUCAUGCUAGACUGCAGGAAUGUGUCUAGGGCCUCUGGAAAGAAGAUAGGCAAGAACUUCUUGCAAGCUGGUUCUCUCUCAAGAUGGCAUCUCCCCACCACAAUCCAUGCUCUGUGGAGUGGAGGAGGGAACCACACAGGAUCUCUCUCUGAAGUCCAGGAUUGCAGAGUACUUAAGAGAGCACUACUUAUCCCGCCUCUGCUCUGUGGCAGAAAGAUUCGUCUCCGGGCAGGAUCAGUAGGUGAGAGAUGGGCUCGCUUACCAUGCUCCUGUUCCCUGCUGCCUCCGAUGCUCUUCCUCAGGCACUGACAGGUAAAAGUGGCUCCUUUGGACUGUCUCAGUGGAGGAGGGAGACACUGGACUUCUCUAUUUGCCCAUCUUCUAACUGCUAAUAGAAUUAAUUGUAUUAGUACACUG